Long non-coding RNA from Eriocheir sinensis (Chinese mitten crab), 3242 nucleotides. RefSeq lists it as uncharacterized. The record is from RefSeq and is a predicted model, not a curated record. The transcript has 3 exons. Lineage: Eukaryota; Metazoa; Arthropoda; Malacostraca; Decapoda; Varunidae.
GUUGCUAAGGACGCCUCCGUGCAAAACGUAAACAUCUGACAUGAAUUAAGUAAAUAUUUCAAAAGAAAAAUAAAGAAAACAUGUAUAAAUGUACAACAAAAACAUAAUAAAUGGCAAACACAAGAAAAUAUUGAGUUUUGUGGCAGAUAGAAGCAGCCUCAAAGGCCGCUUUUACUUCGUCACUCGUCAAUAACCUUAUCUCACCCCCUGCGUCACAACUUGCUCUGCUGAGAUUACCGCACCAUAACCACGUCAUCUGCCCCAAUGAGCAAAUCUACGGGCCGGAGAACCAGCGCAGAAAAGGAGAAAGGGUUAAUCUAGCUAACAACUGCUUCUAAUAUACCGAAAAAAUAGCAUGGGUACUGCAUAGGAUACUUCUUUUGCUUCACAUUUGCGAAGGUUUUAGUUCCCGGUCGUACCAAUUUACUGCGUAAACGGCUUGAUUAUGUGGAGGUGUCUGGAAAAUUUCUAGGUCCAGUGUUGUUGUAUGACACGAGGGCUCUGUGGGCAGACUGAGCCUCUUAGCUGCCUUAUACUACACCACAGAAACUAGUUCCUAAGUCAGUAAUAUCCAAAACGCGCAUGGAUUAUAACGAUUUUGGACAAAAAAACGGUCUUUUAAGAGUUUUACGUUAUUUUUUUCUCUAUAUUAAAGCAAUUAAUGCCGCAGCUAUUUGUAUUUUCUAAUUCUAAAGGAAUACAUUCGUAAAAUGUUACUACGCGAGGGUGUUUCGGUGGCGGCACCUAACGGCGGGUUCCUGAAGUCAGUUCAAGCCGCCAUAAUGGAUGGAAGGCCCGACACUCACUCCCUCAAAAUAUCCGUCUACUUUACCUUUCGGUAAGUGUUAACUGAGUAUUUAACCUCUUUAUUGGUGUGCAUGUAGAUUAACAAAAGGACCGAUUACUAUCCCAAUACCGGGUCCAACAAAGACCCGGGCGUGUCACGUGUCUCAUAUGGUGUGAGAAGCACGUGUCAGAAAACAAAUGGAUAUUGUUCAAUGCGCGAUUACACGCCCGACACUCGUCAACAGAUCCGCUGCGGCGGCUGCUACGUUAUAUAGGAAUAGAUUACAAGAGUAUACGUAAGGGAAUUUCCUUUCUUUAGAGACUAGGGACUUUUCCCGAUUUUGGGGAUUUUUUUAGGGACAUUUUGAAAGCCCAUUUUUCAGUGAUUUGGCCGUCCACCACCAAAACCACUGUUCCCUACAGGGAUUAAUCGAGCUAACGACCACCAAAACCACAGUUCCUUAAAGAGAUUAAUCGAGCUAACGCCGCCGCCAUGGCGCCGGUGCCGCCGCCGCCGCAAAAUAACUCGCAUUCAUUACCUACCUUAUGAAACAUCUCUAGGUCUUAUUAUAUUUUUUCUACAAACGUUUGGUUAGCGACGGUACGCUUGGUUAGCGAUGAUACGCUUGGUUAGCGAUGGUAUGCUUGGUUAGCGAUGGUACGCUUGGUUAGCGAUGGUACGCUUGAUUAGCGAUGGUACGCUUGGUUAGCAACGAUACGCUUGGUUAGCGAUGGUACGCUUGGUUAGCAAUGGUAUGCUUGGUUAGCGAUGGUACGCUUGGUUAGCGAUGGUACGCUUGGUUAGCGAUGGUAUGCUUGGUUAGCGAUUAGCCCACGCAUGUGAGACCAGGUCCACCACGUGUGGUUAUUUUUAUUUUUUAGAACACGCAGCCCAACGGUUGCCGUGCUGAGGGCCGGGUAUAUAGCCCGGGUCUGUUCAGCCCGAGUCCCGGAUGACCUUGAGUCAUGGCUCAGGGCUGUUUUGGGCGAUUAGCCCACUCAUUUGAGUAUACGGUAGGGAUUUUCCUUACUUUCGAGAAUAGGGAAUUUUUCCUAAUUUAGGGAUUUUUCUAGGGAUAUUUUGAAAGCCCAUUUUUCAGUGAUUUUGGCUUCCCCCUCCCCCAAACCCCGGUACCCCACAGUUACCCAGGCUUGUCUUGGGGGGUAGGGGGGGCUGGGGUGGUGGAGGGGGAGACGUAGUUGUUUCCUAGUUUUACCGGAGUAAGUUUAAUUGGUCGCCAGAUGAAACGGUCUUCUUACAUCAAAUUCAUGAAAAAAGACGUAUAAUCAGAGGGUGUUUUGGAAAAAGAGUAUCACCCCUGAGGAUAAGACGAGAGCAUGGACUGAAGUGGCAGAAGCUGUAACAAGUGCCUUCCCUGGGAGUGGACCCCAUACGCAGGAUGACUGUGAGAGGCGUUGGUACAACGUACAACAAAAAUCAAAGCCUCGCAUUGCCAAGUGCAAGAAUGAGCAGCGGCAGACUGCCCCGCUGCUGUAUUGCUAGAGACCAUCCCAGCACAUUGUUCAUUACUUGUGGAAAAUAUACCAUCAGCUACUUUGGCAACAGCCACUGCUUCAACAUCUGCUGGCCCUAUGACACCAGCCACUGCUUCAUCAUCUGCUGGCCCAAUGACACCUGCCACUGCAAGGGAUGACAAUGAAGCUGCUCUACCACAGUCACCACCUACUUCAUCGGAGUUAAGAGAUGCCUUUCAUAGGGCAGCAGUAUAAUUUUUUGAUGCUGGGGCUGAAUAUUACUGCCUCAAGGCUAUGGUUUUGUCACUUUUUUUUAUUACUGAGGAGUUUAGGGUGGAAGGGGUGAAAAAAAAAUUCUGCUGUUUUUCAACAGAAAUGGUUAGCAAAUUCAUUCAAAGCCCAAAAUUUACCAGAAAAAAAAUUGUGUGCCUUUGUGAGUGGGUUCACUUGAGAUUGGGCUCCAAUACACCUCCGUGGUCUAGUGGUCAGCAUGCCUGGCUUCUACGCGGGCCCGGGUUCGAAUCCCGGCCCGGGCAGUCGGCAUGCAGCUCACCCAGCUGAUCAUCCUCCCUCUCGGGCUGGUCGAUAAAUGGCUACCUGGGGAAACCUGGGGAAACUGUGGUAACCCGGAUGUCACACUGGCCCUGUGUCCCGAGCUAAUGGGCUCUCUCCUACCACAGGCUCAAGGGCCAGUGUUACGGAGACUAGCACCGAGGCCACGCACUGCUACAGCGUAUGCCCCAACUUUACCUUUACCUUUAUUGGCUCGACUGACAGAGACAUUGCUUUGUAUGUCGAAGGUCACUGGUUCAAUACCCACAGCCAGGACUCUCUAACUUGGAUUUUUCUGAGUUCCCUAGAGCCUAGAUUAAUUUCUCGGUGUUAAAUGAGGAGAUUUGCACCGACACCCAGUUGUGGGUGUUACAAGAUAUGUUGUUACAAUCAGGGGCGUCAUUUGGACUUUAAAAGUGGGAGGGACA